GCUCAAAACUCCAAGGACUUGGCGGUGCUCCACAUCAGCCUAGAGGAGCCUGUCCUAUAAUCGAUACUCCACGUUAGACCUUACCAUCCUUAGCCACUCAGCCUAUAUACCGCCGUCGCCAGCAUACCUUGUGAAAGGCACAACAGUAUGCACAACAGUUACCAACUAAUACGUCAGGUCAAGGUGUAGCACAUAAGAUGGAAGAGAUGGGCUACAUUUUCUGCCACAGAACAAACGAAAGGCGCAAUGAAACAUGCACCCGAAGGCGGAUUUAGCAGUAAGACAGACA
RNAcentral lists this ribosomal RNA (289 nucleotides) under Chalcides viridanus viridanus. RNAcentral describes it as "Chalcides viridanus partial 12S ribosomal RNA". It matches the Rfam family "Bacterial small subunit ribosomal RNA", at positions 892 to 1349 of the family's 1533-position model. Lineage: Eukaryota; Metazoa; Chordata; Lepidosauria; Squamata; Scincidae. The record is from RNAcentral.